CUCCAACUUCUAUAAAACUUAAGAAAGAGAGAGAGAGAGAGAGAUAGAGAGAAAGAGAGAGAGAGAGAGAGAAGAAGAAGAAGAAGAAGAGAGAAAGCUCACCUGAGCUCGUCGCCGGAGCCACCACACGCCAGGACGUCGUCAAGCUCGUCACCACCAUCAUCCGCAACCAAAGGUGAGACCGACGAGCAGGAGUGAUUAUCGGACCGGUGCUAUUGGGCUUUUGGGCUUCUAUCGCUUUUACCGCUUUUAUCUUUAUCGGGUCUUUAGGCCUUUGGACUUUUAUCGUUUAUGUUAUUCCUAUUUCAGACUUUCGGUUUAUGUCGUAUUUUAUAUUUCGGAUGUUAUCGUUAUCGGGCCUUUUGGCGUUAUGCUAUCGUAUUGACUUUUAUAUUAUGGUGGAAAUUAUUAUUAUUAUUUGAGUUG
Long non-coding RNA from Brassica oleracea var. oleracea, 426 nucleotides. RefSeq lists it as uncharacterized. The record is from RefSeq and is a predicted model, not a curated record. The transcript is spliced from 2 exons. NCBI's taxonomy places the organism in Eukaryota, Viridiplantae, Streptophyta, Magnoliopsida, Brassicales, Brassicaceae.